GUUGACCUCGGAUCAGGUAGGAAUACCCGCUGAACUUAAGCAUAUCAAAACCGGGGAGGGAAAAAG
RNAcentral lists this ribosomal RNA (66 nucleotides) under Exophiala phaeomuriformis. Its description in RNAcentral is "partial 28S ribosomal RNA". Lineage: Eukaryota; Fungi; Ascomycota; Eurotiomycetes; Chaetothyriales; Herpotrichiellaceae. The record is from RNAcentral.